GAAAGAAAAUCCAACCAGACAACUCUGAUCGUCUUCUUCAGCUUACAAGAUCAUCCCAGUACUCACUGCCCAUCUUUUCUUCUGUUAUUUCCAAUCAAAACCCGUUUCAAAAGAGAGUCGAGCAGACAAGGUUGCUGGGGUACGAAAGAGAAGAGGAGAGAUCCAGGAUUGUGGUCGACCUGUGGAGGAAGGUUUGGGUUUGGUUUUUAUCACAAUGAUUGACAAGGGUGAAAAUUUGGGUUGUGCUUUUGGUUUUUAAACUUGAAAUGUUUUUUAUUGAAUUGUUCAUAUGUUCAGUUUGGUUUCUUUAUUUUGUAGUGUUCAGUGAGUCUAGAGGUUGUACGUAUUGAAGGGGUGGGGAUUUGGAGUGCAGACAAAGAGAAGAGGUUUCGUUGUUAAGAAUCAUAAGCAAUUGUUUCUUUGCUGGUUUGUAAGUUCAGAAGUUUGGAGCUGGGUUUGAGCCAAUUUGUUUUUUAUACCAAUAUGUUUGUAGUUAUUUUUUUUAUACCAAUUUGUGGUUAAUUAUUAUAACGUUUGAAGGUGUUUUGCUGUUUAGAAGGUCAACUCAGAUAUUGCUCUGCAUAUAGCUUCAAAUUAGUUAUCCAGCUUUGUUAACCAAAAUUGAUAAUUUAUUGUUUGUUGCUGUAAUGCUUAAUUUGUGUUUUGGUUCCACAAUCAACUUUCUCAUUCAUAUAGCUCACUUUAAGAGUUGUCAUGGAUCCUUAAUAGCAUGUACCAUCAGAAUAUAAGUGCUCUGAGACGCUGGAGAAUAAAAUAGUCAAAGCAAUGUCUAUCGCUGAGAAUGAUCUUUUUUAACUUUGAUCUUUUGGUUUGUUCUUUGAGUUUGAUCUUUUUCUUCAUUUUUUAAUUGCUGCAUUUAUCUGCUUUGUUUUCUUUUUCUAUCUUUAUUUUCAAAUUAUCUUCAGAAUGAAUGAAUGCAUCCAUUUUUUUUCCAAGUUCAUAAGUACAUAUAUUUCUUUAUAAUGUUUGCAAUACAUAUAUGUAGGGGGCAAUAUAUUGGUCUCGAAUAGUUCAUUGAUUUCAAGAAGAACAUAUCAAAAAUGAAAUUGCAUAGACAUAGGUUCAAAGGUGACUGAUUUGUUGAUACUUUUUAAUGUAAGUACACGGUGUUUGAUACGCAGAAUAAUUGAUAGUUCAGUUGUUAAUUUUUUACUUUUUUUGUUUUUUUCUUUUCCCUCCCCUGUAAAGGAGGCUGAUAGUUAUUAUUGAAAAGGUCAAGAUCAGUAGAUAAACAAUGAAACAGAAACAUUAGAUACUUUGUAUACUUUGUAUCUUUUGUGAAUGCGGUACCUUGGCCUUUUACGUUCGAUGGCUAGAGGGUGCUAUUUUCUUGCAAUCGAAGAAGACAAUGCUCUAGCUCUUGCUAUAAUUCCCUAUUAGAUUGAGAAAAAUUUGUCAAACAUGCCAUUGUGGAAUUUAAUGAUAAACCAUUUUACCUUGCAGGGACUGAGAUUGGUAGAACUUCAAAAUGGCGAUAAUACACUGAACCUCAGGAGAGAUCCAAGAUUUUGGUCAAUUUUUUAAGGAAGCUUUAGCUUUGUUUCAGAAGAAGUGGCUGCUAAAUUUCAGUUAUCUAAAAUUCUGCUCUUGACUGAGUUUUUUCUUUCUAAAUUUUGUGUAUUAGUAUAUUAACAUGUGAAUGAAAAUAAUUUGGCUUUAAGUUU
This 1685-nucleotide long non-coding RNA is filed under the name Rosa chinensis. Its description in RNAcentral is "sRNA RchiOBHm_Chr6g0245131". The record is from RNAcentral. Lineage: Eukaryota; Viridiplantae; Streptophyta; Magnoliopsida; Rosales; Rosaceae.